GGGCGGUCAAGGUAGUCGGAGCUUCCUGCGGGGAGAAUUGGUGGCUCCCAGGGCGCGCGCCCAGACUGAAGAUGCAGUCCCUGAUACAAAUGCACACCCCGGGAUGCAUAAGAGCCCAGGCGCACGAACGUCAUCCAUGUGGCCAGACCAACUGACACCAUUUGAUGGUGCUGUCACUUCUCAUCUCUUUCUUAGCAAAGGCUCACAUAAAUUUCUACUUUGGCCCAGAAACGUACUCCGUUUUCCAUGAAGACCAAGCAAACGCUGCCCUGGGUCCUCCUUUGCCGGGAUUGGAGUCUGGACAUCUGGGUCUCAUCCUUGUUCUGCAACAACUUCCUGCGAGUCUUCACCUUGGCAGCCAUGGUUGAUUCCAGAAGCCUGAAGUUCCAGUUACCAGGUUUCCUUCCCUGGCACCCACUUUAGAGACACCAGCACCAGCCUAGCCCCUCUUUGGCUCCAGGUUCCACUAACCCCAGCCCCCAGGUGAUAGCUGCUUCCUGCAGUGAGUAUGUCUUUGUGUGACCUUGGGUUCUUGUCUGACCUUUUUGCACUUCAAAACCUGCUUAACCAAGUCCUGUUUUAGAUGAUUUCUGUCAAAACUUGUAUGAUUUCCGAAAGACAGAAAUGGCUGUUUCUUUUUUUCCUUUUUUGGCUGCCCUAUGGCAUGUGGAGUUUCCAGGGCAGUGAUCUCAUCAGAUCUGUUGCCUACAUCAGCUCUGGCAACGCUGUGUCUUUUAGCCCACUGUGCUGGGCUAGGGAUCGAACCUGCAUCCUGGCACUGCUGCUGAUCCUGCUGUGGCACAGCGGAAACUCCAGAAAUGGCUCUUUCAAUAAUUCAGUCCAUUAACACUCAUGGAGGGCAGUUCUAGCUUUAUGCUGAAGUUACAAAGGUAAACAAAAUGCAUCUCUGUCUUUGAGAAGAAUCAAUGUUGAGUAAUGAUAACAGUGGUCUCUAUAGAACUCUGGUUUUGACAAGCAACAACAACAAAACGCAAAUGAUUAGAAUUAACACAUCAUUUAAAGAAAGAAAAAAAAUAUACUAUUGAAAAUGGACCAAGGUCUAAACCGGGAAUUCACAGAAGAAAUAAUAAAAGUGGUCAAGAUUUAUAUAAAUUGAUGCUUAACCUCAUUUUAAUGGAGGAAAUUCAAAUUAUAGUCAUGCACAGCUGGGUGUGAGUACAGCCACUUAAGAGUCACUUUGUAUAACCCAUCACCCUGAAGUUCUAUUGUUAAUAGCUGCCCCAGAGAGAGACUUAAACCAUGUACCAAAGGAAGCACCUACAAGGAUCUUCAUGUAAUGUUAUUUUUAACAGUGAGAAAUUAAGGGAGUUCCUGUUGUGGCUCAGUGGAAAUGACUAGUAUCCAUGAGGAUGUGGGUUCGAUCCCUGGCCUAGCUCAGUGGGUUAAAGAUACCACGUUGCUGUGAGCUGUGGUGUAAGCCGGUGGCUGUAGCUCCAAUUUGACCCCGAGUUUGGGAACUUUCAUAUGUAGUGGGUACGGCCCUAAAAAGCAAGAAGAAAAACCAGUGAGAAAUUCAAAAUAAUAGAAAUAUUCAUUAAAAACAGGAAUAGCUAAAUAGAUAAUUGUACACCUUUUUUUUAAAGGAUUUUUAUUUUUUCUAUUAUAGGUGAUUUACAUUGUUCUGUCAAUUUCUGUUGUACACCAAGUACCCAGUGAUACAUACAUAUAUGUGUGUGUGUGUGUGUGUGUGUAUAUAUAUAUAUAUAUUCUUUUUCUCACAUUAUCCUCCAUCAUGUUCCAUCACAAGUAACUAGAUAUACUUCCCUGUGCUAUACAGCAGGAUCUUGUACACACUUUUUGUGGAAAAUAUGCUGCAGUUUUCUAAAAUGAGGUGGACCUAAAUAUACUGACAUAAAAAAUUGUUUAAGCCAUAUAAAAACAUAUACACACAUAGAUAUCUUUUCUAUGGGCAACUCCUUGAAGAAAAGUCUGGAAGCAUAUACAUUAUGUUGCUAAUAUUUGUAGAAAGAGGACUAAAAUAGGGGGCAUUGGAGAAGGGAAAAAUCAAAGGGUACAAACAAAACACAAGCCCCUCUAAUUUUCAAAUCACCCUUUUACAUAAAAUGUCACUUACUCCUUAUAUUGACCUUAUGGUGUAAGCAUCAUUUCCACUUACAGAUGAGGGAACCUCAGCUGAGAGAUGCUAAGCCACUCUUACAAACACAACUAGUAGAGAAAUCCCUGGGCUUGAGGCUCUACUUUCCCCAGGCUCCAGAAGGAUUAGGUGGUUAGGUUAAUUGGAACUUGUCUUUGUCACUUUUCACUUUUAAUGAUUUCUCACUGUUUUAAGUGAAAGACACUUUGAGGUACCUCAGACAAUCUACCAUCUGUCAGAGUGAGGAGGGGAAAGAAAACAAUUUGCAAGCUAUCAAAAGAUAGUCCUGAUAUUUAAGAUUCUCUACCUUGCAUUUUCCAGGUGGGAACUUAGGGUCAGGCGUCAAAGGACCAGAGCAUCUGCACCCUAGCUUCUCCCACUGUGGAGUACAAAACUCUGCCCUCAAGUAGCAGGAGGAGCAGGGAAGCGGGAGGCAGUGGGGACAAGAACUGAGCUUUGACUGCCAUUCCCCCAGUGGCUAAGAGCUGCAGAGCCCCUGGUGGGGGUUAGGGAGGGCCCCUGGGGACCUGGGCCUUGCCUUCAAGAGCUCUGAUUCCUUCAUCUUAAUGAUAGCUUCAAAUGAGGUUUGGUUGUUCUUAGCAAGUACAUUUACUGAAACCAUUGAUGUGUCAAAUGUGAACAAAAAUACCACAUUUUUGGUAACUCUAGGAAUUUUCUUCUUCUCUUGUCCCCUACUUCCCCUCCCUCUGUUUCCCUUCUCUCUUCUCCUCUCCCUCCCUCCUUCCUUCAUUCACAGAGAGGGCUUAGUGGCUGGCCUUUCCUUUAAUUUCAUACCAAGUUUGAUACAAAUUUCUUAGUGUAGUCUCUAUCAGCAGUACAGUUGCUAAUUUCAAACACUAAAAAAAAGUUGUAAGUGGGUAAUGGAUAAUAUUUUGAUUGAAUAAUUGAUUUGAUAUAAUAAUUCUCCAGGCUUUCUUGUACCUAUUGGCUUUCUCAUACUGCUGGGGAGAGAGGGGUAGGAUCCUAGAUGCUCUGCCCUCAGGAGAGAGCUGACAAAGAGACAAAGUCUUAACUCUGAGUUCUAAAAUAGAUAAGAUAUAUGCAUAGCAAGAAGGAAAGUCUUGAAAGUCAAGGUUUCUGUUGUAAGAGUUGGGUUUUUGAGACAGAAGGAUUUUAAAUUCUGAAAGUUGGGCUUGGGCCAUCAAUAACUAGUGACCUCAGGAUACAGUUCCUGAGAGCCCACCAUGGGCAUGUCUUCUCAACUCCAUGUUCAGUAACUUAAAAUCAACCAUGGUAAAAGUGUGUGUUCAGGGAGUUCCCACUAAGCUGCAGUGGGUUAAAGAUCUGGCUUGCCUCUGUGGAGGCGCUGGUUUGAUCCCCAGCCUGGCACAGUGGGUUAAGGAUCCAGUGUUGGUGCAGUUAUGUCAUAGGUCACAGCUGUGGUUCAGAUUGGAUCCCUGGCCUGGGAACUUCCAUAUGCCAUGGGUGUCACUAGAAAAAAAAAAA
Molecule: long non-coding RNA, 3583 nt
Filed under: Sus scrofa (pig)
Lineage: Eukaryota; Metazoa; Chordata; Mammalia; Artiodactyla; Suidae
Description: lncRNA (ENSSSCG00040069542.1)
Source: RNAcentral